RNAcentral lists this ribosomal RNA (1295 nucleotides) under uncultured Clostridiaceae bacterium. RNAcentral describes it as "bacterial SSU rRNA". It matches the Rfam family "Bacterial small subunit ribosomal RNA", at positions 64 to 1379 of the family's 1533-position model. Lineage: Bacteria; Bacillati; Bacillota; Clostridia; Eubacteriales; Clostridiaceae. The record is from RNAcentral.
GAACGAUUCUUGGGUGCUUGCAUCCAAGUUUAGUGGCGGACUGGUGAGUAACGCGUGAGUAACCUGCCUCUAAAUGGGGGACAACGGAAAGAAAUUUCCGCUAAUACCGCAUAACAUUGCCUGCCGGCAUCGGCGGGCAAUCAAAGAUUUAUUGUUUAGAGAUGGACUCGCGUCCGAUUAGAUAGUUGGCGGGGUAACGGCCCACCAAGUCGACGAUCGGUAGCCGGACUGAGAGGUUGAACGGCCACAUUGGGACUGAGAUACGGCCCAGACUCCUACGGGAGGCAGCAGUGGGGGAUAUUGCACAAUGGAGGAAACUCUGAUGCAGCGACGCCGCGUGAAGGAAGAAGGUUUUCGGAUUGUAAACUUCUGUUAGCGGGGAAAAAAAUGAUGGUACCCGCAGAGAAAGCCACGGCUAACUACGUGCCAGCAGCCGCGGUAAUACGUAGGUGGCGAGCGUUGUCCGGAAUUACUGGGUGUAAAGGGUGUGUAGGCGGGGCGAUAAGUUUGGAGUGAAAUGCUGUGGCUUAACCACGGAACUGCUUUGAAAACUGUCGUUCUUGAGUGAUGCAGGGGCAAGCGGAAUUCCCGGUGUAGCGGUGGAAUGCGUAGAUAUCGGGAGGAAUACCGGUGGCGAAGGCGGCUUGCUGGACAUUAACUGACGCUGAGGCACGAAAGUGUGGGGAGCAAACAGGAUUAGAUACCCUGGUAGUCCACACCGUAAACGAUGAUUACUAGAUGUUGGCGGAUUGAACCCGUCAGUGUCGCAGUUAACACAAUAAGUAAUCCACCUGGGGAGUACGACCGCAAGGUUGAAACUCAAAGGAAUUGACGGGGGCCCGCACAAGCAGUGGAGUAUGUGGUUUAAUUCGAAGCAACGCGAAGAACCUUACCAGGGCUUGACAUAGCAGUGAAUUGCGCAGAGAUGCAUAAGUCCCUUUGGGACGCUGUUACAGGUGGUGCAUGGUUGUCGUCAGCUCGUGUCGUGAGAUGUUGGGUUAAGUCCCGCAACGAGCGCAACCCUUACUGUUAGUUGCUACAUUUAGUUGAGCACUCUGACGGGACUGCCGUUGACAAAACGGAGGAAGGCGGGGAUGAGGUCAAAUCAUCAUGCCCUUUAUGUCCUGGGCUACACACGUACUACAAUGGCGAUUAACAGAGGGAUGCGACUUCGCGAGGAGAGGCAAACCCCUAAAAAUCGUCUCAGUUCAGAUUGCAGGCUGCAACUCGCCUGUAUGAAGAUGGAAUUGCUAGUAAUCGCAGGUCAGCAUACUGCGGUGAAUACGUUCCCGGGC